Aedes albopictus (Asian tiger mosquito) is the source of this 58-nucleotide non-coding RNA. Lineage: Eukaryota; Metazoa; Arthropoda; Insecta; Diptera; Culicidae. The record is from Rfam.
UAGCCUAGUAGUUAAGGCUAUGGAUUGCCAAUCCGGAGACGGCGGGUUCGAUUCCCGU